AGAGUUUGAUCAUGGCUCAGGACGAACGCUGGCGGCGUGCUUAACACAUGCAAGUCGAACGAUGAAGGUGGGAGCUUGCUUCUACCGGAUUAGUGGCGAACGGGUGAGUAACACGUGAGCAAUCUGCCCCUGACUCUGGGAUAACUCCGAGAAAUCGGUGCUAAUACCGGAUACGAACUGAGACCGCAUGGUCAUCAGUUGGAAAGAACUUCGGUCAGGGAUGAGCUCGCGGCCUAUCAGCUAGUUGGUGAGGUAAUGGCUCACCAAGGCGACGACGGGUAGCCGGCCUGAGAGGGUGACCGGCCACACUGGGACUGAGACACGGCCCAGACUCCUACGGGAGGCAGCAGUGGGGAAUAUUGCACAAUGGGCGCAAGCCUGAUGCAGCAACGCCGCGUGAGGGACGAAGGCCUUCGGGUUGUAAACCUCUUUUAGCAGGGAAGAAGCGAAAGUGACGGUACCUGCAGAAAAAGCACCGGCUAACUACGUGCCAGCAGCCGCGGUAAUACGUAGGGUGCAAGCGUUGUCCGGAAUUAUUGGGCGUAAAGAGCUCGUAGGCGGUUUGUCGCGUCUGCUGUGAAAAUCCGAGGCUCAACCUCGGACCUGCAGUGGGUACGGGCAAACUAGAGUGCGGUAGGGGAGAUUGGAAUUCCUGGUGUAGCGGUGGAAUGCGCAGAUAUCAGGAGGAACACCAAUGGCGAAGGCAGAUCUCUGGGCCGUAACUGACGCUGAGGAGCGAAAGCGUGGGGAGCGAACAGGAUUAGAUACCCUGGUAGUCCACGCCGUAAACGGUGGG
RNAcentral lists this ribosomal RNA (796 nucleotides) under uncultured bacterium. RNAcentral's name for it is "bacterial SSU rRNA". It matches the Rfam family "Bacterial small subunit ribosomal RNA", at positions 8 to 813 of the family's 1533-position model. The record is from RNAcentral.